AUGAAUAUGGGAAUCUUUGCAAGCAUGGUGAUCAUGGAGCUCAAGGCCAAAGGAUCCACCUCUAUCAAGGCACUACUUGUAGAGGACAUUGAAGUUUGUAGGUUGGUCCUCUCAACAAUUCUGCUCAGACUUCACUGUGAGGUUACUCUAGCCAUGAAUGGGAAGGAGGUUGUUGAUUUGUUCCUUGAGGGGAAGAAGUUUGACAUUGUUUUGUUCGAUAAGAAUAUGCCCAUCAUGACUGGUCCAGAGGCAAUUGUCAAGAUUCGUGCUAUGGGGGAAACUGAUGUGAAGAUGGUUGGGGUUUCUUCCGAUGAUCAUGCCAUGGAGGCGUUCAUGAGUGCUGGUGCUGAUUUAUUUGUGCCAAAACCAAUGAGGAUGGAGGCUCUCGGCCCUAUCAUUCAAGAGGUCAUCAACAAGAAGAAGAAUGACAUGGCCUAG
This 438-nucleotide ribosomal RNA is filed under the name Triticum aestivum (bread wheat). RNAcentral's name for it is "partial small subunit ribosomal RNA". The record is from RNAcentral. Lineage: Eukaryota; Viridiplantae; Streptophyta; Magnoliopsida; Poales; Poaceae.